Molecule: ribosomal RNA, 664 nt
Filed under: Romanomermis iyengari
Lineage: Eukaryota; Metazoa; Nematoda; Enoplea; Mermithida; Mermithidae
Description: small subunit ribosomal RNA
Source: RNAcentral
GCUUAAAAAUAAAAUUUGUUCUUAAAAUAAAUUCAUUUAAAAAAAUAAGAAUAAAAAAUUAAACAAUUUAAUUUAAUUUAAUAUUAUAAUAAUUUGGUUAAUAAUAGUGCCAGAAUCCUCGGUAAAACUUUAAAAUUUGUAAUAAAAACUUUAAUUUCAUACUAAAUAAAUUAAAAAUAAUUAAAAAAAGAAAUGUAGUAUAAUAGAUAUUAUUAAAUUUAAUAUUUAGUUAAAGCAAAUAGUUUCUAUGACUCGGAUUAGAUACCCGACUAAUACUAAUUAAAUUUAUUAAAGAAGUUAUUUAAAAUUAAAACCUAAUUAAGUUGGCAAAACUUAAAAUAUUUGGGAAUUUUGAGAAUAAACGAUAAUCCACGUUAUUUUCAUUUUAUUUAUUUCUAGUAUAGCCGAAUAAGAAUAAUUAAAUUUUUUAAAAAAAUUAUUUUAAUUUCAGGUCUUUAUAAGAUAAAAAUGAAUUUCUUGAAGUUUAUUUUUUAAGACUAUAAAAUAAGAACUAAUCUUCUUAAAAAUAAAACUAAAAAGUAAAUUUUUUAAGUAAAAAUAGAUUGAAUAUUAAUAUUAAGUUGGUACAAAUUACCCGUCACCUGAAUUUUAUAGUUGAGUAAGUCGUAGUAUAGUAAGUUUAUUGGAAGAUGAACUUUAUUCA